RNAcentral lists this non-coding RNA (236 nucleotides) under Sphingomonas taxi. Lineage: Bacteria; Pseudomonadati; Pseudomonadota; Alphaproteobacteria; Sphingomonadales; Sphingomonadaceae. The record is from RNAcentral.
UCGGGCAAUGAUCGCGCUGGUGUCCCGGGAGGGACUUAAAAGGGAACGCGGUGAGGGAGUUAUUCUCCCGAUGCCGAGGCUGUCCCUGCAACUGUAAGCGGCGAGCGAGACGUACAUCGCGCCCUUUUCGACAGGGCGCAGCCACUGGAUCGACGCCGCAUCGGCAAGAUCUGGGAAGGCCGUAUGUCGAGCGACGACCCGUGAGCCAGGAGACCUGCCAGCGUCUGGUCGCUCUU